GUUUGGGAAUGCAGCUCAAAGUGGGUGGUAAAUUCCAUCUAAGGCUAAAUAUAAGUGAGAGACCGAUAGCAAACAAGUACCGUGAGGGAAAGAUGAAAAGAACUUUGAAAAUAGAGUUAACAGUACGUGAAAUUGCUGAAAGGGAAACGUUUGAAGUUAGUAUUGUAUUCGUUGGAUCAGCUUCGCAAGGAGUGUAUUCUGAUGAUAAGCAAGUCAACAUCAAUCUUUGGGUGUUGGAUAAGGGUUUUGAGGACGUAGCAAUUUAAUUGUGUUAUAACUUGAGACUUGGAUACAAUGCUUGGGAUUGAGGAACGCGUAGUAAGCUUUGAGCGGAUCAGCAAUGAUCUCCUUACUAUGGAUGUUGGUGAAAUAUCUUUAAGCGACCCGUCUUGAAACACGGACCAAGGAGUCUAACAUGCAUGCGAGUAUUAGGGCGUUGAAACCCGAAUGCGWAAUGAAAGUGAAUUUCAAAUGUGAUCCGCAAGGUGCAACAUUGACCGGUCCAGAUUAUUUAUAUGACGGUACUGAGUAAGAGCAUGUAUGUUAGGACCCGAAAGAUGGUGAACUAUGCCUGGAUAGGG
Molecule: ribosomal RNA, 581 nt
Filed under: Melampsora nujiangensis
Lineage: Eukaryota; Fungi; Basidiomycota; Pucciniomycetes; Pucciniales; Melampsoraceae
Description: eukaryotic LSU rRNA
Rfam family: Eukaryotic large subunit ribosomal RNA
Source: RNAcentral